GCUACAAUGGUUGGCCCGACAGUGAUAGCGGCACGCAUUGCAGCAGAAACUUAGUUUCUGCUCACGGGAACGGGCGAACCCUUUUUCUUUUACUUUCCUUACUCUCUUUUUGUGUACUUUCUUUAUUUUACUUUUUUGUUUUUUUAUUUCUUACCUAGUUUUUUGUUUUGUUUUUUUCUUGGUAAAGGCCCAAUUUUCUUUUUUUCUUUCGAUGCAAAUUGGUUUAUGUUCGUACCCUGCCAUUAAUUUUAUUUCUGUGAGCCCGUUCAUGUAGAAGAAGUUUUUACAAUUAAAGAGAAAAAGAAACCUAGGGUUUCUGCUUAAAAAAGGUAGUUCUGGGCCAAAUCUUCC
RNAcentral lists this long non-coding RNA (351 nucleotides) under Vigna radiata. RNAcentral's name for it is "long non-coding RNA (VRAD_LNC009706)". The record is from RNAcentral. Lineage: Eukaryota; Viridiplantae; Streptophyta; Magnoliopsida; Fabales; Fabaceae.